This 1356-nucleotide ribosomal RNA is filed under the name metagenome. RNAcentral describes it as "bacterial LSU rRNA". It matches the Rfam family "Bacterial large subunit ribosomal RNA", at positions 1564 to 2925 of the family's 2925-position model. The record is from RNAcentral.
UGAAUACGAGACGCUACGGCGUCGAAGCAGUCUAUGUCAGACUUCCAAGAAAAGCUCGCAAUGUCAUAAACAAAUAAUGCCUGUACCAUAACCGACACAGGUGGGUAGGUAGAGUAUACUAAGGGGCGCGAGAUAACUCUCUCUAAGGAACUCGGCAAAAUGACUCCGUAACUUCGGGAGAAGGAGUGCCUUAUUUAUAAGGUUGCAAUAACAAGAUCCAAGCAACUGUUUAUCAAAAACACAGGUCUCCGCUAAGUCGUAAGACGAUGUAUGGGGGCUGACGCCUGCCCAGUGCCAGAAGGUUAAAGAAGUUGGUUAGCAUUCGCGAAGCUGAUAACUGAAGCCCUGGUGAACGGCGGCCGUAACGAUAACGGUCCUAAGGUAGCGAAAUUCCUUGUCGGGUAAGUUCCGACCCGCACGAAAGGCGUAAUGAUUUGGAUACUGUCUCGGAGAGGGGCUCGGUGAAAUAGACUUGUCUGUGAAGAUGCGGACUACCUGCACCUGGACAGAAAGACCCUAUGAAGCUUUACUGUAACUUGAAAUUGAAAUUGGACUUUAUUUGCGCAGCAUAGGUGGGAGGCUUUGAGAGUAUUCUUGCGGGAAUAUUGGAGCCAUCAGUGAGAUACCACUCUUGUAAUGUUAGAUUUCUAACUUUGUAUCAUUAUCUGGUCAAAGAACAGUUUCAGGCGGGCAGUUUGACUGGGGCGGUCGCCUCCCAAAUGGUAACGGAGGCGUACAAAGGUUUCCUCUGAACGGGUAGAAAUCGUAUCUAGAGUGUAAAGGCAUAAGGAAGCUUGACUGUGAGACCUACAAGUCGAGCAGGGACGAAAGUCGGUCUUAGUGAUCUGACGGUGCUGAGUGGAAAGGCCGUCACUCAACGGAUAAAAGUUACUCUAAGGAUAACAGGCUGAUCUCCCCCAAGAGUUCACAUCGACGGGGAGGUUUGGCACCUCGAUGUCGGCUCAUCGCAUCCUGGGGCGGUAGUACGUCCCAAGGGUUGGGCUGUUCGCCCAUGAAAGCGGUACGCGAGCUGGGUUCAGUACGUCGUGAGACAGUUCGGUCCCUAUCUGUCGUGGGCGCCUGAGAUUUGAGAGGAGCUGCUCCUAGUACGAGAGGACCGGAGUGGACGUUCCUCUGGUGUUCCGGUUGUCACGCCAGUGGCAUUGCCGGGUAGCUAUGAACGGACGGGAUAACCGCUGAAAGCAUCUAAGCGGGAAGCCCCCCUCAAGAUUAGAUCUCACUGGGACCUCGAGUCCCCUGAAGGGCCGUCGAAGACUACGACGUUGAUAGGCUGGGUGUGGAAGCGCAGUAAUGUGUGAAGCUAACCAGUACUAAUUGCCCGUGAGGCUUGACCAA